Meleagris gallopavo (turkey) is the source of this 2318-nucleotide long non-coding RNA. The record is from Ensembl. NCBI's taxonomy places the organism in Eukaryota, Metazoa, Chordata, Aves, Galliformes, Phasianidae.
UUGCUUCUCGUUCUGAAGUGAAGUUUGCCAACCUGGAAGGUCUUUAAUAACGAUUUUCUGAUAAACAUACACUCACUGGUUCUCCUCUUGGCAGCUACAUUUUGAUUAAAUUCCUCUAUAUCUGUAUAUCAUGUAUGCAAAUGUAAUUACAAUCAGUUGAAGGGACACAAACAGUACAAAUUUGGGAAUUCAGUCAAAUCACUUUGACUUUGAAGAAGCUGUAUCCCCAGUACAAAUAAAUAGAACAGCUCAGGAAAUCCCAUGCUCGUGCCAAGGGGAUUUUGCCCCUGGCACAAAGCAGUGCCCACAAGUAGUGUUAUUACUGAGUUAUUGCCUGGGGUUUCCCAGCUGGAAUUGUCUGUGCUUAUACCUUAUAACUUAUGGGCAACCAGUCUGACUGCUCCAAGUAGCAUCACAGUCACUGCUCUGACUCCGUACAGAUGGGCUGUAUCCUAUCUUCAGGACAAGAGCCUUGAAGACUGUGCACUGGAGGUCUGAAGUUCACAUCCAGAGAAAAGAGAGCACGUCCAUGAAAAUGUGGCUGGAGGAUGCACAAGAUAACACCAGCAGGAAAGAGCAGCUCAGCCCCAGAAGACAAGUGCCUAAAUCUCAUGUUCCACAGGUGAGGCUCUACACAUCUUUCAUCAAGUGCUGGACAUGAUGAAAUAGUGCUUCAAGGGUGGGUGCAGCUGCAGUGAGAUUUGGUGGGAAUUAGUUCAACAGGACCUAAAUGGAACAGAUAAUGUUAAGAGAAAUGCUCUUGUUUUCAAGUGUACUCUUAGACCCCACUGACCCUAUCAAGUAGCACCUAUUGGCCCUUCUGCAGAAAUGCAAUAACCCCAAUCUUUGGUGGUACGUCCCAAAUAGGGUGACAGCCCCCAGAUCCCCAGAUGAGCAGGGGGAACCUGAAGAAUGCUUGAAGUUACAGGUUGGUCAGCAAAAAUAAUUGUCAGGUCUGGAAUUCCUCCUGUGCACCAUGGCACUUCUGGAUUCAUUCCCACUGACACUUGUGGUGCACAGUCAGUGCACUUGGAGAGGGCUGGGGUCCUGGUAAAUACAUAUGUACAUAAACAUAUGUAUAAUAUAUACAUAUAUUACUUUCUAUUAAACGUUGUUCUUUAAAUCCUCUUUUGUGUUCCCUAGACUCCUGCCCAGCAAGACUAUAUGGUAAUACAUCCCAUACAAGUUUCUUAAAAAGGAAUUAAAAAAUAAAUUUUUAUAAUUUCCUGUUUUGAAUUUCCCAGAAAGAACCAUUUGCAAAAUAAAGUAACUUUUGUGCAGCAUGAAAUUUUUAUUAACCUGAACAAAUGAAUACAAACUUCAGGUCAUGGUCCAAAUAGAGAAGAAGGAAGAAGAAAGGAAGGCCAGAGCUUACUAAAUGGUUGCCUAGGGCUUAUGAUUUUCUAGCUGCUUAAAACAUCAAAAGUGUGAGGCUGUUCCAUGGAGAAGGGAGAGACAUAUUUCAGGAUGGACCUGUAGACUUCAGAGAUGAAGUGUCAUGGUGAAUGGAAGGUAUUGCUAUACCAACAAACAGAAAAUAACAACCAAAAAAAAUUACAUAUGGAGUUUUGGGGGAGAAAAUAGGGGUGAGGGCUCAGGAAAGGAAGGAAAUAAUGCAUAAGAUCGUAUUUGAGCUUUCUGGACCAGCGUUUAUCACCUGCUCUCCAAUCUGAGCUACGGGCUAGCCAUUCUUCAACAGCCAAAAGCACAGAAACAUGGGCACUCCUCAUUUCUGACCUAUUGUUCUAGUAAUUUGAGACAAAGUUCAAGGGAGACCUAUAUAUGCUUCUCUAAGGAAAGUGAUAAAAGAGUGGUCAGCGUUAAGCUGUCUCUCUUUCCAAAUAUGUCCAUUGGCCCAAAUGGAGUCUGACCACCACAUCUGGAAAUGAACAUCUGAAAACCGAGCAGGAGAGGAAGGGGGAGCAGGAUGGGUAAAAACUCUUCCAUAAGGCUAUUUCAUUUCAACAAUGUCAAAAGAUUUUGUUUCAAAUGUCAUGUUGAUUCAUUUCAUUUUGACUUUUGUAUUAAAACACUAAUUGCAUUAUAUAUAAAUGUUGACAUUCUAUGAAUAUAUUAAUACAUUAAUAUUGCUGUAGAGUAUAACAGUCCGUACAAAAUGAAUGGAAAAGACAGUGCAUAUACCAGAUGUGUGAGUCCUGUCUAAAAUUAAACUUCUCAUGGCCUCAAACAUUUUCAGAUUUUCUUUCUGCCUUGUGUUUCAUCUGUUCCUUCUGUAUUGGACCAAACCAGACUGUCUGAGAAAGAGCUGCAAGAAAAACAAAGCUUACAGGUUGGCUUCUAGCAAGUCUACAGUAUCA